This 317-nucleotide long non-coding RNA is filed under the name Medicago truncatula (barrel medic). RNAcentral describes it as "long non-coding RNA (MTRU_LNC005071)". Lineage: Eukaryota; Viridiplantae; Streptophyta; Magnoliopsida; Fabales; Fabaceae. The record is from RNAcentral.
UACGUGCAGUAAUUUGACUAUAACUCUAGUUCUAUAAAUCCUUUUGAAGUCAAACCAACGGCAUUAGAAACCUAAGAUUCAUACCUACAACUUUCGUGUUUACACCUAAGACCAGUUCUGUACCAAUCAAUACCAGUUUUCAUUUCAAAUUCGGACAAAGUUGUGCUGAAAUUCAUAAAAAUUCACUAAGACCUACUUUGAGUAUUUUCAUCAUAACACCUAAACCGAAAAUCAUUUUCAAGUCAAACCGACGCCACUGGAAAGAUAACACAAUUAUCUACAACUUUCAUGUUUACACCAAAGGCUAAUUCAAAACA